This 97-nucleotide signal recognition particle RNA is filed under the name Bdellovibrionales bacterium. Its description in RNAcentral is "signal recognition particle sRNA small type". It matches the Rfam family "Bacterial small signal recognition particle RNA". From Rfam's summary of the family: The signal recognition particle (SRP) is a universally conserved ribonucleoprotein involved in the co-translational targeting of proteins to membranes. Lineage: Bacteria; Pseudomonadati; Bdellovibrionota; Bdellovibrionia; Bdellovibrionales. The record is from RNAcentral.
GAGCUGGGUCUUUGCGACAAACGACUCCCAAUCCCGUCAGGUCCGAAAGGAAGCAGCGGCACGGAGCCCUCUUUGGGUGCCAAGGACCCAGCUCUGU